UUUUGUCAGAAAGAUCAAAAAGGGCUUGAGGUUUUUCUUCGCAGCCUCAGCCUUGCCUCUCCCCCUGUUGCUUUAUCUCCUCAUUUCUGUGUGCAGGCGAGCUUCUUGGCCCACAGGCAGGAAGAGAUGGCAGCCGGGGAGACGCAGCUCUACGCCAAGGUCUCCAACAAGCUCAAGGGCCGCAGCACCCCCUUGCUCCUGGAGCCCCUCCUGGCCAUGGGCUUCCCGGUGCACACCGCGCUGAAAGCAUUGGCAGCCACGGGGAGGAAGACGGCGGAGGAAGCCUUGGUCUGGCUACAUGAUCAUGGCAAUGACCCUUCCCUAGAUGACCCCAUCCCCCAGGAGUAUGCCCUUUUCCUCUGUCCAACGGGGCCCCUGCUGGAAAAACUUCAAGAGUUCUGGAGAGAGAGCAAGCGCCAGUGUGCAAAGAACAGAGCUCAUGAGGUCUUCCCGCAUGUGACACUCUGUGACUUCUUCACGUGUGAAGACCAGAGGGUGGAGUGCCUGUAUGAGGCACUGAAGAGGGCUGGAGACAGACUCCUGGGCUCCUUCCCCACGGCCGUGCCCCUGGCUCUCCAUUCCUCCAUCAGCUACCUCGGCUUCUUCGUCAACGGCAGCCCCGCAGACAUCAUCCGGGAAUUCGCGAUGACCUUCGCCACGGAAGCAUCUCUCUUAGCAGACUGCUCCGUGAAGCCUUGCACCAAGCAGCUGCAUCUGACCUUGGCCCACAAGUUCUACCCCCACCACCAGAGGACGCUGGAGCAGCUGGCCAGAGCCAUCCCCCUGGGCCACAGCUGCCAGUGGACAGCUGCACUCUACUCCCGAGACAUGCGCUUUGUGCACUACCAGACCCUGAGAGCCCUAUUCCAGUACAAACCCCAGAACGUGGAUGAGCUGACGCUAAGUCCUGGCGACUACAUCUUUGUGGACCCCACACAGCAGGACGAAGCCAGCGAGGGCUGGGUGAUUGGGAUCUCGCAGCGGACGGGCUGCCGGGGCUUCCUGCCGGAAAACUACACGGAUCGAGCCAGCGAGUCUGACACGUGGGUUAAGCACAGGAUGUACACCUUCAGUCUAGCCACGGACCUGAACUCCAGAAAGGACAGUGAAGCCAGCAGCAGAUGCAGUGGGGAAUUUCUUCCACAAACGGCAAGGAGUCUUAGCAGCUUACAGGCCUUGCAGGCCACCGUUGCAAGGAAGAGCGUGCUGGUGGUUCGCCACGGGGAGAGAGUGGAUCAGAUCUUCGGGAAGUCGUGGCUGCAGCAAUGCUCCACUCCUGACGGGAAAUACUACAGGCCAGACCUGAACUUCCCCUGUAGUCUGCCCAGACGGAGUCGUGGGAUCAAAGACUUUGAAAACGAUCCCCCAUUAUCAUCCUGUGGCAUUUUCCAGUCCAGAAUUGCAGGGGACGCGCUACUGGACAGUGGUAUCAGAAUCAGCUCUGUGUUCGCCUCCCCAGCCCUCCGCUGUGUGCAGACGGCCAAACUCAUCCUGGAAGAACUCAAACUGGAGGAAAAAAUCAAGAUACGAGUGGAACCUGGAAUCUUUGAAUGGACAAAAUGGGAAGCUGGAAAAACCACCCCAACCCUCAUGAGCCUGGAAGAGCUGAAAGAGGCGAAUUUCAACAUCGACACUGAUUACAGUUUUCAGCACAAAACUGGAGCCUCCCUGUUGACCACGAGCCUGCCUGGAGGCAGAGCCAUCCCGGAAGAAUGUUCUCCUUCCCCAGCUAACCGUAGCCACGCCCUCCUAAUCCCUACCGAAGGGCCAGGGCAGCAGCCUCUCCAUCUCCUCCUUCCAGGCCCGCAUUUCCCCUGUCUGCCCUCAUGCCGGCCGAGAGCUACCAGGAGUAUGUGGACAGGUGCACGGCGAGCGUGGUGCAAAUUGUCAACACCUGCCCACAGGACACGGGCGUCAUCCUCAUCGUGAGUCACGGCUCCGCGCUGGACUCCUGCACGCGGCCACUGCUCGGGCUGCCACCCCGGGAAUGUGGGGAUUUUGCCCAGCUCGUGAGAAAGAUCCCUUCCCUGGGCAUGUGCUUCUGUGAAGAAAAUAAAGAGGAAGGAAAAUGGGAGUUGGUGAACCCACCAGUGAAGACCCUCACCCACGGGGCGAACGCAGCAUUUAACUGGAGGAACUGGAUCUCAGGCAACUGAGAGCCACGGUGAUGUUCUCAUAACCUCAGAGUGGAGAGGCAGAGACCAUGUGCAGAGGCUGGGAGAUGCUGCUCUUUCCAGAGGCGUCUUAGUCUCACCCAAUGUGAUUUGUAAAAGCACAAGACGCACUUUUAUAUUCCGGAAUAUUUCCCUCCAACUUUCGCCUUUGUAACUCCCAUCUGUGGACCCAUCCUCCACCAGCUCAGCUGUGGGAAGCACAGGGCAGAUGGCUGGGUGAGGACGCCACCCUGAAGCACGUACACCGAGUGUCUGCAGCUGGAGACACAACUGCUCGGGACUCUAAAUUCCAGGAGUUAAAGACUCACCACACACGAAGGAUCUAACCACUUCAUUUUCCAUGGUCUGAUCAUUAAAUUCCCAAUCGUUUUUUCUUUUUCUGCGUCCAUCACUCUUUAGCCAUAUCCACAUGGGCUAAAACAGGUGUAAUAGUCAAUAAAAUGGGCCCAGAAUACCGUCUACCAGCUCAAAACUGGGUUGCUGUUCAGUGCUGUCAACACUCAUGUUACUAUAUCUCUGUGGUUGCUGUAACCAAUGACCACAAACCUGGUGGUCAUGGAAAGAACACAAAAUUCACACACACACAUACAUGCACAUACACACACGCACAUAUGCAUACACACACAGGCACACACGUGCAUGCACACACACAAAUACAUGCACAUACACAUACGCACACAGAUGCACACGCACACGCACGCAUGCACACGUGCAGGUACACAAGCAAACACACACACAAACACAUGCAUACAUGCACGCAUGCAGACACAUACAUGCACACGAGCACACACAAAUGCACACAUUCGCACACACGCACAUGAAGGCAUACACAUGCAAUGCACACAAACA
RNA transcript from Mandrillus leucophaeus (drill), 3023 nucleotides. It is a transcript of the gene named ubiquitin associated and SH3 domain containing A, with no coding region annotated. The record is from RefSeq and is a predicted model, not a curated record. The transcript is spliced from 14 exons. NCBI's taxonomy places the organism in Eukaryota, Metazoa, Chordata, Mammalia, Primates, Cercopithecidae.